Molecule: ribosomal RNA, 568 nt
Filed under: uncultured organism
Description: bacterial SSU rRNA
Rfam family: Bacterial small subunit ribosomal RNA
Source: RNAcentral
CACUUGGGAAUUAUGAUCGCAAGGUUUGUAACUCUAAAGUAUAUUGAUUGUGUCCCUGCACUAUCGGUGGAGCAUGUGGUUUAAUUCGAUGAUACGUGAGGAACCUUACCUGGGCUUAAAUGUUGGACGACAGUCCCCGAAAGGGGAUUUUCCUUCGGGACGUCCUACAAGGUGCUGCAUGGUUGUCGUCAGCUCGUGCCGUGAGGUGUCGGGUUAAGUCCCAUAACGAGCGCAACCCCUAUUCUUAGUUGCCAUCAGAUAAUGCUGGGGACUCUAAGGAAACUGCCUACGCAAGUAGUGAGGAAGGUGGGGAUGACGUCAAAUCAGCACGGCCCUUAUGUCCAGGGCUACACACGUGCUACAAUGGCCAGUACAGAGGGAAGCUACCAGGUGACUGGAUGCCAAUCUCGAAAGCUGGUCUCAGUUCGGAUUGGAGUCUGCAACUCGACUCCAUGAAGCUGGAAUCGCUAGUAAUCGCACAUCAGCCAUGGCGCGGUGAUACGUUCCCGGGCAUUGUACACACCGCCCGUCAAGCCAUGGAAGCUGGGGGUACCUAAAGUCCGUAACC